GCGGGAGCGGGGCGGCCUCUGCCUCCGUCCCGCUCCGUUCCGGCGGGUGAAGGGAGGGUCUCUGGUACCCUGGUGCCGGCCGAGGAGGGCCCCCGUGCGGCGCUGGCCGCCGGCUGCGUUCCCCAGCUGCUCCUUCCCCCGCCAUGUUGCAGCGAAGCUGCUUCAGGGCUGGCCCCGAUGGCGGCUUUUGGGCGGCCGCUUCGGUUUCUGUGCCUCGGCCCCGUCGCUGAGCAAGGGAAGGCUGCGGCGUGAGGGGACAUGGCUGCGGACCGUCAGGCCCCACUCUGUGGGGGGAGGAGGAGGAAGAGGAAGGCGUGACUGGAGACCGGCAGGAGACAGGGUGAAGUGGAAAAGAUUGGAUAAUGUCUUGAAAAAUCGAGGAGAGAGCCGUGUGACGUGGCAGACCCAGGAGCCCCUCUAAGACCUGAGGUGAGCAGCAGCAGAUGCGAGUUCCCCUGUUGAAUAGCUCCCUGCCCCAGCUCGUGUUGCAGAUGUGGCUGUAGUGCCAUGUUUGUGUCAUUAGGUGGCAGAGAGGAAAAGGCUGUGUCUUUGCUGGUGCUCUGAGACCUGUGAGCACUCAGGAACGAUGAGCAACCUGACAAUUAUUUCUUGAUUCCCCCUUUUCUUUGUUAAACUGUGAAGGACGGGCAGCUGUAGGGGGACAGGGUAGAGAAGUGUGGCAGACAGUCAUUCUCUUAGUGAAUGCCUCGUUUAUGUGACAGAGAAUUAACGGAAGACAGAGCAAAACUUCUUUGAAAAGCAGUUAAAAUUGUGCCAAUUUUAACUGUAUCAAGGGAAGUUACUUUUGAAAACAGGGCUGGGCUCUGGAACUUGCUUCAAAUGUUGAAGAUCAUGCCUCGAGUUUAAGAAUCUGUAGCAAAAGAAAUGGUGAGCAGUGCCCGCAGUGGAAGAUUCCUAAGAGUUCAUCUUUCCUCACACGUGGGUUCGAAGGCGCUACAGCCAGUGAACGUGCGUGCGAUGCUGCUCGUGGCGCUGAAUGUUUGCUGCAACCUGUGUACGCAAAUGUCAGUUUAAAAAAAAAAAGUUAGUUGUGCUCCAAGUGUCCUUUCUGCUUUGGCUGGGCUGAGCCGCCAGAGUUGUAAUCUUGCCCUUCUCCCGGUCAUCUCGGCUCAUACACUGUCUUCACAGCCAAUAUUCUAAAGCACUGCUGUUUCAAUCCAUACUUUCUCUGCCUGGUUGAGAAGGAUUUAAAAAAAACCAAACCCCAAAACUAAAUAAAGAUGCCACCUCGAAUAAGUCUGAAA
Molecule: non-coding RNA, 1265 nt
Organism: Phalacrocorax carbo (great cormorant)
Lineage: Eukaryota; Metazoa; Chordata; Aves; Suliformes; Phalacrocoracidae
Source: RefSeq, a predicted model, not a curated record